UAUGUUUAUGAUAAUUUAUUCAAACCAAUCAGUUUUCCGUACAAACGCAGCGUUAUAUUGUUUUCAGGCUGGCAGCUUUUUGUUGCCAGAGUGAGCUUUGACCGUUUCGGCAGGCUGGUACUGAUUGCUCACAUCCCGUGAGCGAAAGGUUUUAGAUUUCAAAGGAUGGAAAAAGGGUUUUAAAACCCAGAGGAUGUGAACUCUGUCCCAAACUCACUAUUACUUCUACUGCCUUCAUCUCCCUUAGAGAGAGAGAGAGAGAGAGAGAGAGAGAGAGAGAGAGGAGAGGGAGAUGGAGGGUUGGAUCUCGCUGCCAAAAAUCGAGCUCCACGCUCACCUCAAUGGCUCCAUUAGAAAUUCCACGUUGCUUGAACUUGCUAGAGUUCUGGGUGAUGAGGGUGUCCUAGUUUCUGCAGAUGUGGAGCAUGUAAUCAUGAAGGAUGACCGAUCUUUGCCCGAGUGCUUCAAGUUGUUUGAUCUCAUCCAUGUAGUUACAACUGAUCAUGAAACUGUCACAAGAAUCACUAAAGAAGUUGUUGAAGACUUUGCUGCUGAGAACACUGUGUAUCUAGAGCUAAGGACAACACCGAAGAAGAAUGAAUCCAAAGGGAUGAGCAAACGCUCUUACAUGGAAGCUGUGAUAAAUGGUCUGAGGGGCAUUGAUGCAGUUGAUGUUGUUUUUACUCCUGCUUGUGGAAGAACAGAAAUCUCCAUCUCUUCACCUAUCAAUGAUUCUUGUAAUGGCCUAACAAGAAGAAAGAUAUACGUUCGCCUUCUUCUCAGCAUUGAUCGUCGUGAAACCACUGCAGCAGCAAUGGAAACUGUUCAACUAGCACUGGAAAUGAGGGAUCUGGGGGUAGUUGGUAUUGAUCUUUCUGGCAAUCCUGUUGUGGGGGAAUGGGAAACAUUCUUGCCAGCAUUAAAAUUUGCCAGGGAACAAGGCCUUUCUGUUACACUUCAUUGUGGUGAGGUGCCCAAUCAGAAGGAAAUCCAAGCAAUGCUGGAUUUUCUUCCCCAGAGAAUUGGCCAUGCCUGUUGCCUUGAAGAGGAGGACUGGAGAAAGCUGAAAUCAUCCAAAAUUCCGGUUGAGAUUUGUUUGACAUCCAACAUCAGAACUGAAACCAUCGGUUCCAUUGACAUUCAUCAUUUUGAUCUCUACAAUGCGAAGCACCCAUUAGUUUUGUGCACUGAUGACACUGGGGUUUUCUCAACCAGUCUUUCCCGUGAGUACAGCAUUGCGGCAGCUUCAUUUGGUCCUUGAAGAUUGGAGAACUUACGCCCACAGUCCAUAAUGGGACUCGAUGAGUUUUGUAAUUUGACAAACAUACGCUUUCUUUGUGAGAGAGUCUUCAAAUCGGCAGAAAAUCAUGGGUGUAAUGAGGAUUCAGCGCUGUGGAAACUAGAAUAUAACAUUCCGUUCCAACUGCAAGCCCAGUGGCCUGAUUUUGGCCUUCUUGCGUUAGUAGGACCUUCUCCAAAUCAAUACCGGGUUUCCCCUUUGUCCUAAUCUUAUUCCCCGACCCAUCUAUUGGGCUCUCUAUUGGGUCUUGAGCUGCCUUCUGGUGGACAUCUUACACAUGGGAAGAAGAUCUCUGUGACUUUGAUCUACUUUGAGAGCUUUCUGUAUAAGGUGAAUUGGACUGGGUUAUUGUGAUAAACAUCAAAUUUGCAGGUAGGUCUGGUGCUCUGCAACAUGGCUCACAUAAGUGACUUCGUAGUUUCCCAUGUACCGUUCUUAUUGUAGAAAAAUGCUUAAUUUGUCUUCUGGGAUCUGGAUUCUGAUUUGUUCUCUUGCUCUUGUCCAUUAUUGUUGAGUUCUUCCUCCACUCUGAUCUUCACCUUCAAGGCCUCAACCCAUUCAUAGAGUCUUUUUCUAAAUCUAUACUGUGGUCUGUCCUUCCUUACUCUGUUCUCUGUUUCCUAAACAUUUAAAGGAUUCCUUUCAGAACCCACAUGAGUGGUUCUUCCUUUACUCUGAAUUGUCUCUUAACUCAUUGACGGUGUUCUUCUAAAAACCCAUCGCAGGCUCUUCCGUCUUCACGUCAACCUUUGGGCACAACACUUUGAUUGGGUCAGCACUUAGAUUUGAGUGAGGGUACCUUCCUCUCUCCCUAGCUCGUUUGAUGUCUUUGGUCAUGAUUUCCAACUGAUUCAACAAUUCUCUCACAGAGGAAAGAUGAGAAGGAAGCUAAUGAUGAGAAGGAAGUGAAGGAGGCUUUGCAUGCAUGGAUACCUCAGCUAUUUCAUUAAAGGCAUUGCCUGCACAAGAUGUGAGAGGUCUUAAUGGUAAUGGGAUGGAAAGGAGGCAAUUCAAUACAGAGAAAACAUCACUCUCAAGGGUUUUCCUUGCCAGGUGCUUAAAACAUCUCACUUUGAAUGGAGCUGUACAUAGUUUAAUUCAGAAAUUGGAUUGGCCCGACCGGUUUAAUCAACAUGAGCUAGAACCGGACACCUUGUUUGAUCAAUUACUUGGUUUUAUGCAUUGAUAAUCGGUCAAACCAGCUAAGAACAUGGGCCAGUUAGCAACUUUUUUUUUCCUUUUCUUGAGAAAAUAGCGAAGAUUUAUUGGUUGAAUUGUUGGUUAUGACUCGGUUCAACCCAAUUUUUUCUUUAUAUAAACCAAACCAAAGAGCAUGAAAUGGAUUGGAUAAGUAGUGAGGUCUAACCAAAA
RNA transcript from Macadamia integrifolia, 2671 nucleotides. It is a transcript of the gene named N6-mAMP deaminase, with no coding region annotated. The record is from RefSeq and is a predicted model, not a curated record. NCBI's taxonomy places the organism in Eukaryota, Viridiplantae, Streptophyta, Magnoliopsida, Proteales, Proteaceae. The transcript has 13 exons.